This is a long non-coding RNA of Halichondria panicea, 808 nucleotides long. RefSeq lists it as uncharacterized. The record is from RefSeq and is a predicted model, not a curated record. The transcript is spliced from 3 exons. Lineage: Eukaryota; Metazoa; Porifera; Demospongiae; Suberitida; Halichondriidae.
CUCUGGUGUAUGCUGGAAAGUGUUUCUGUUGACAUGAGCAGACUUGAGUAAGCCGCUUCAUCUGCAGCCACAGAUACUACUGUUAAUAGGUACAUAACUAAGUUAUAGCUCUAAGUCCUUAAUGGCGAGAGCUUAAGUGAGGCCUUUCAGAUAGCAUGUUUUAAUCAAACGUUAUUUUGAUGUCAAUGUUUCCAUGCAGCACUGCUGUCUGCUGCAACCCAUUGCUUGUACAUGUGACUGCCCCCUCAAUGACAAGACAGGGUGUCUAUAUAGUGCAUGCUCACAUCUGAAUGAAAAUCAAACGAGUGAGAGUGUUAUGGAACUACAAGGGACGCGUACGAAAGAGCUCAGAGUAUGUCUCCAAAGGGGGUAACAUGUACAAAGGGAUCUAUACAAGGUGCUCAAUUACUAUAGCCAGAGAAAAACAAACAAGAACGGAUUUAUUGUUUGAGAGUACCUGUUCAAGAGAUUAUGAGGCAUAACCAAUCACUGCCACUUGAACAUUUGGAGCUGCAUGUGCGCACAGAGACUGCAGGAGGAGACCUCCACCGACUAUUCCAGUGUCGUCGUGAUCCUUACAAUAAUUAUGAGUCUGCUAACACAUCCAACUUUGUGACGAGCUGAUUGAUCGACUACACAGUAAGUGGUUUACUUGGACAGGGACAUACGCGUAGCUUGCCUAACACCCCACAUAGGCACCCCUCCCUCUUUACUAUAGAUCACGUAUAAAGACACAUUAUAAGCAUUUUUGUCACUAUUAUACUGUCAGCAACUUCUCACUUAGAUAAUAAUUAUCACCGGCACAGUU